UAGUUCAUCUUUUUCUUGACUGCUUGUACUUCGAGAAGUGACCUCUGUUUCAACGUUCUUUUUUAUUUCACCAUCAGGCUUGGCUGCUUUAUCCUCACUUUCUAUUACCGCUAAAUCCUCCUUCUCAGGCUUCUCCGCAACCGACUCAUCUACAGAAUUUUUAACGACAUUUUCAGAUGUUUCCGGAGACUGAGUAGAAGCAUCGCCGGUGGAUGCCUCAGCACCUUCAGCUGAAACUACAUUCGAAGCAGAAAUAUCCUCAGUGUUUUCAACUACUUGAGUAUUGUCAUUGCCUGUAGGCUCAUUUACUUGAUUAUUGCCAUCAUUAGAUUCGCGGUCAACAUUAUCUUCGGCAACUGAAUUUUUAGAUUUAGCUUGGCGUUUUUUCUUCUUGACCUCCAGCAACUAGCACUCGUAAGUUAAAUGUUACAAAAUAUUAUGCAUACCCUUUGUUUAGCUGCAGCUAGCUUUUCUUCACGAUCUGACAUCUUCAAAUUUGAUACAAGAUGAAAAUAAAUCAACAGGGAGUUGUAGUGUGGGCAGAAUCAGUAAAGUAUAGGUAAGUAGGGAAAGUUUGCGUGAGGCUUAACAAGUCCACGGAUAACCAAGCAUACUAAAUAAAGUAGAAACAUAAAUAUAAUAUAUAUUUGAUGAAUGAAAAACUUAAAAAAAUGGAUUCAUAUUUUUUAUACGCUAGAGAGUAUAGGUAUAUUUUAUUACGCUGAUUCGGUUUGAAAAUGAAGGAAGAUACUCUCCAAAGUUAAUGCAAGAGCAGAAUCCUUUCAUUAGUUUUUAAAGAUUACUAUGUGUAUGAUAAUAUUACUGUUUAAAGAGCAAAAGAAAGUAAAUACAACCUUUGUUUUCAAGAUCGAUUCCGUGAAUAAUAAAAAUCAACGUUGGCAACGCUUACAGUUCUUUACAACUUCAAACGGAUUAAAUAAUCCGGUUUAUUAAAAGACUCAACUAGCUUUGACUAUGCCUAUACUAAUGAGUUUUUAAUCGAUCAAUAU
Schizosaccharomyces pombe (fission yeast) is the source of this 1010-nucleotide non-coding RNA. The record is from the annotation of a GenBank genome assembly. Lineage: Eukaryota; Fungi; Ascomycota; Schizosaccharomycetes; Schizosaccharomycetales; Schizosaccharomycetaceae.